CAGUAGCCACGGUAAUACAGAGGGUGCAAGCGUUAAUCGGAAUUACUGGGCGUAAAGCGCGCGUAGGUGGUUUGUUAAGUUGGAUGUGAAAUCCCCGGGCUCAACCUGGGAACUGCAUUCAAAACUGACUGACUAGAGUAUGGUAGAGGGUGGUGGAAUUUCCUGUGUAGCGGUGAAAUGCGUAGAUAUAGGAAGGAACACCAGUGGCGAAGGCGACCACCUGGACUAAUACUGACACUGAGGUGCGAAAGCGUGGGGAGCAAACAGGAUUAGAUACCCCUGUAGUCCCUGUCUCUUAUAC
RNAcentral lists this ribosomal RNA (301 nucleotides) under uncultured bacterium. Its description in RNAcentral is "partial 16S ribosomal RNA". It matches the Rfam family "Bacterial small subunit ribosomal RNA", at positions 509 to 807 of the family's 1533-position model. The record is from RNAcentral.